Molecule: non-coding RNA, 12621 nt
Organism: Sus scrofa (pig)
Lineage: Eukaryota; Metazoa; Chordata; Mammalia; Artiodactyla; Suidae
Source: RefSeq, a predicted model, not a curated record
GAUCCUCCCAUUCGUUUCCGGUUCCUUCGGGCGAGAGGCAGCCGGGUCAGGGGUCACGAGCAGAAGGGCUUCUCUGGCCCGGGCCGGCGCGGGAGGGCUGUGUGAUGGCCUCGGAGCGCCCGGAGCCGGAGGUGGAAGAAGCUGGGCAUGUGUUCCUGCUGAUGAAAAAGGAUUACCGAAUCUCCCGAAAUGUUCGCCUGGCUUGGUUCCUCAAUCACCUGCAUCAGACUGUGCAGGCCACACCCCAGGAGAUGCUGCUUCAGUCUGAGCAGGAGCUGGAAGUCCUCAGUGUCCUGCCUCCUGGGUGGCAGCCAGAUGAACCAGUGGUCCCCAGGCCGUUCCUCCUUGUACCCUCCACCCGGGUCACCUUCCUGGCUUGGCAGUAUCGAUUUGUCAUCGAGCUGGACCUCAGCCCAUCCACUGGCAUUGUGGACGAUUCCACAGGGGAGAUCCUGUUUGAUGAAGUUUUCCAUGCCCUGUCCCGCUGCCUGGGCGGGCUGCUCCGGCCCUUCCGAGUGCCUGGGUCUUGCAUCGACUUCCAGCCUGAGAUCUACGUCACCAUCCAGGCCUACUCCUCGAUCAUUGGCCUGCAGUCCCACCAGGUGCUGGUCCAGGGCUGCCUAUUGGACCCUUCCCAGAGGGAGGUGUUCCUGCAGCAGGUGUAUGAGCAGCUCUGUCUCUUCGAGGAUAAGGUGGCCACAAUGCUGCAGCAGCAGUAUGACCCCCCGAGCCAGGUGGGAAGCCCUGCCUCAGUACAGUCUGGAGCUUCAUGUGGAGCUGGACUCCGUGCCCAUCUGAGGGCAGAGGACCAGUCCCCAGACUCAGGGGAGCCCCCUGGCCGGAAAGUGGGCGUCUCCAUGGUGACAGCUGAUCUUGGGCUGGUCAGUAUGAUUCGUCAGGGCAUCUUGGCGCUGCAGUUGCUGCCCUCCAACUCUAGUGCAGGCAUCAUUGUGAUCACAGAUGGGGUGACCAGUGUCCCUGAUGUUGCUGUCUGUGAGACACUGCUGAACCAGCUUCGCAGCGGCACUGUGGCGUGUUCCUUUGUGCAGGUGGGAGGAGUUUACUCUUACGACUGCAGUUUUGGCCACGUGCCCAAUGUGGAAUUGAUGAAAUUCAUCGCAAUGGCAACCUUUGGCUCCUACCUGUCCACUUGUCCUGAGCCCGAGCCCGGCAACCUGGGUCUGACUGUUUACCACCGGGCCUUUCUCCUCUACUCCUUCCUGCGCAGUGGGGAAGCCCUGAACCCUGAAUAUUACUGCGGCUCUCAGCACCGCCUGUUUAACGAGCACCUGGUCUCCGCGAGCAGCAACCCCGCCCUGGCCCUGCGCCGCAAGAAGCACACUGAGAAGGAGGUGGCGGCUGACUUGGUCAGCACCGUGUCGGUGCGGCUUCGAGAGGGCUACAGCGUCCGAGAGGUCGCGCUGACCAAAGGAGGGUCCCAGCUGGAGGUGAAGCUGGUGCUGCUGUGGAAACACAACAUGCGCAUCGAGUACGUGGCUGUGGCGCCCUGGCCCCUGGAACCCGAGGGCCCUCGCGUCACCCGCGUGGAAGUGACUAUGGAAGGCGGCUAUGACAUCCUGCAUGACGUGUCCUGUGCCCUGAGGCAACCCAUCCGCUCGCUGUAUCGGACCCACGUGAUCCGGCGGUUCUGGAACACACUGCAGAGCAUUAACCAGACGGACCAGAUGCUCGCCCACCUGCAGUCCUUCUCCUCGGUCCCGGAGCACUUCACGCUCCCCGACAGCACCAAGAGCGGCGUGCCUCUCUUCUACAUCCCGCCCGGCUCCACCACCCCGGUGCUGAGCCUUCAGCACAGUGGUUCCGACUCCUCCCACGCCCAGUUUGCGGCCUACUGGAAGCCAGUGCUCUCCAUGGAUGCCAACUCAUGGCAGCGCUGGCUGCACAUGCAUCGCCUGGUGCUAAUCCUGGAGCACGACACGCCGACCCCCAAGCACCUGCACACCCCGGGCAGCAACGGCCGCUACAGCACGGUCCAGUGCAGGAUCUCGCACUCCUCGCUGACCUCCCUGCUCCGCGACUGGAGCAGCUUCGUGCUCGUCGAGGGCUACUCCUAUGUGAAGCUGCUGUCCAGGGGCCCAGAGCAGCCCCCCUCCUCCUUCUACAUGAUCCGCAUCAUUUCCAAGGCCCCCUGCAUGGUGCUCCGCCUGGGCUUCCCCAUCGGCACGCCCGCACAGGCUCGGCACAAGAUCGUCUCAGACUUGCAGGAGGAAAUCCUGCGCCUGCGUUUCCCCCACCGGGUACAAAGCAAGGAGCCGACGCCCAAGGUGAAACGGAAAGGGCUGGGGGGCGCCGGCGGGGGCAGCUCUCCCUCCAAGUCGCCCCCCAUGCUGGGGCCACAGCAGGCCCUGUCUGACCGGCCCUGCCUUGUGGUCGUGCAUAAGCCCCUGGACAAGCUGCUCAUCAGGUAUGAGAAGCUGCCCCUGGACUACCGGGCGCCCUUCUUGCUGACCUUGGAGCCACCAGGGCCGCUGCCCUUGGUGUCGGGCCGCUCAGCCUCUUCUAGCCUAGCGUCGCUGUCCCGCUACCUCUACCAUCAGCGCUGGCUCUGGAGCGUCCCCCCGGGCCUGGCCCCCGCCCUGCCGCUCAGCGCCAUCGCCCAGCUCCUCUCCAUCCUCACCGAAGUCCGACUCUCCGAAGGGUUCCACUUCGCCUGCAGCGGGGAGGGAAUCGUCAACAUGGUCCUGGAGCUGCCGAUCCAGAACGAGCCCCCGGGGCAGGCCGCGGCGGCAGAGAGGCACACGUGCGUGGUCCAGUACAUCCUCUUCCCCCCACACGCGACCUCCACCAAGGACAGCUUCUCAACAGACGAUGACAAUGACGUGGAGGUGGAGGCCCUGGAGGGAGACUCAGAGCUCAACCUGGUGACCGAGGUGUGGGUGGAGCCCCAGUACGGAAGGGUGGGACCCGGCCCGGAGAGCUGGAGGCACCUCCGGGACUUGACCUACUCCGAGAUCCCUGGCGCCCUCCACCCUCGGGACGUUGCCUGCAUAGGCUCCAUGCUGAGCUUUGAGUACCUGAUACAGCUGUGCCAGAGCAAGGAGUGGAGUCCCCUGCCCCCGGAGCCCAGGGUCUCUGAUGGGCUGGACCCGGGUGGAGACAGCUGUGUCCACGAGACCCCCUUCCGCUUUGACCUCGUGGGCCUGCUGCCUCAGUGCCAGCAGCUGCAGAUGUUCUUCCUCCUGCUCGCCAGAGAGCCGGAGGGCGUCCCUGUCGCCGAGGGGCCCUGUCCCGCCAACGACCUGGUGCUGUGCCUGCUGCACAGCUGCCUGGGGCAGGAGCUGAGUGACCGGGAGAUCCCGCUGUCCGCCGCCGACCAGGCUGCCUUCCUGCGCGAGGUGCUGCGGCGGACGUGUUACAGUCCAGGUGCAGAGGGGCUACCAGUGGAGGACGGCGGGACCCUGAAGGGUCAGAGGCCAGGCCCUCUCGAAAGUCUGAGGCCGGCCAGCUCUGCCCAGCCCCCUCAGUGGCGCUGCUACGCAAGGCUCGUGAACCCCCAGCACGUGUUUCUGACGUUUCUCCCCGCCACCUUCCCAGAUGUCCAGCAUCUGGCUGCCUAUGGCCUGGAGGGGCCGUCUCAAGAGGAGACAAGGCCCAAGUUCGGGGACGGGCACGGGGCCUCCACCCUGAGAGGUCUGGGAGGAGCUGGGGCCAAGGCUGCAGAGCCCCAGGUCCCCAUCCUCAGUGUCACCCCGGCUGGCGACAGUGCCCAGCAUCCAGGAGAGCUGAGCCCGCCCUUCCGUCGCGACGUCCAGGCUUGCACUGGGCGUCAGGCUUCACAGACAGAGGCCGCCGAUGGGCCCCGGCCCCGGUGUCCUGUCUACAUCUACAGCUGUGCUCUGGAAGCGCUGAGGGAGCAGCUGGUUGGCGUGCAGCCCCCUCAGGCGCCCCGAGACCUCGUCUUCCGGACGCAGUUCCUCGACCAGCCCUCCCCCGCCUCAGCCUGGAUGGAGCCCAGGCACAAGGAGGCGGCCAACCAUUGUGCCUUGCUGCAGGAGCACGCGCAGCGAUGCUACGUCCGCGGGCUGUUCCGGAGCCUGCAGCAGGCCCAGAGCGUGACCUCCCAGGACCUGCUAAUAGCCGUGGAUGCCUGUGAGGAGCUGCUGCAGGAAGUAGACAUCACCCCCUUCCUGCUCGCGCUGUGCGGCCACACUCGGGGUUUGCCUCAUGCACCCCCAAGCCCUGGUCCUCUCAGCCCCGGGCUCUUCAGCAGCAGCGUCGAGGAGGGCCCCGAGCCUCGGGAGCGAGCCGUCCUGGCUUCCGAGUCCAGCAUAGAGACCGAGGACCUGAGCGAGCCUGAGUUUCAGAGCAGCCGAGUCCCCGGCCAUCCAGACCCCGGCCUGGAGAUCUCUCUGACAGACGUCUGUCAGCUCAGGGGGGAGGCACACGAUGCCCUUCACAGCCUCAUCCAGGAGAAGUUCCUGGAGAUCAGUGGUCUCCACUUCCGCACAGUGCCCUCCAACCCCCACUACUUCUUCUAUUGCCCCCCGUCCAGCAGGCGCGAGGACGAGGGCCCCCGGGACACAGUAGACAGAAAAGUCAGCGACCUGGAGUUUUCAGAGGCUGAGCUCAUGGGAGAAGAAGGAGACACAUCUGCCUGCUGUGUGGUCACUGAGAGUGACCCGGAGCUGGAGGUGGAAUACCGCGAGAGCCGGGAAGCAGACCUGGGGCCUGCCGGGCUGGACUCCGCCUCUCUGUCGGACGCAGACACCGUGAACCCCGACGAGGACUCCUUCAGUGUCCUGGGGGGCGACUCACCCACCGGGCCCGAGAGCCUCGCUCAUGACCUGCCACCCCUCUUCCUGCACCUCACGUGCUCCGUGCGGCUGCGCGGGCAGCACAGCUCAGUCCCCGUGAGCAGCCUGCCCACCUGCCUGGGCCAGGUGCUUUCUAGUCUGGAGGGUCCCCUCGUCGGAGGCCGAGUUCCCCUGAGGGACCUCAGUGUCACUCUGGAUGUCUUCGUGCUGACCUUGCCCCUGGAAGUGGAGCUGCCGCCGACCUCAGACCCUCAGCACCACCGGUCGACGUCUGAGAGCAGCGCUUCCUUCCCGCGAUCUCCGGGGCAGCCGUCGGAUGAUGGCCUGGGGCCUCCACUGCCACCUCCAGGAGAAGACAGGCACCCGGGACUGUCUAACUUGGCCGGGCCGCACAGGUUGGCUAUUGAGACCACCGUGAGUGAGAUCCGCUGGCUGCUGGAAGACGAGAUGGUGGGGGCGCUGCGGAGAGGGGGCAUCCCCCAGAGCCCUGCCCUGCACCGCGCAGCCGCCCACAUCCACGGCUCCCCCGGACGCCCCACCUGCCUACGCCAGACGCUGCCGCUGAGUUUUGUGUUUGGGCCCGAGCGUUCGCUAACACAGUUCAAGGAGGAGUUCCGCCGCCUCCACCUCCCUGGUCACGUUCUUCUCGAGGACCCUGACAGCGGCUUCUUCUUUGUGGCAGCUGGCCAGCAGCCAGGCGGGUCCCACGGGGGGCCCCCUUCGGCAGCCUGGGCUUGGCACAGCCCUGAGGACAGGGCGGAAGGCGUCGAAGGGGAGGCCCUGGCAGCCAGCCCCCAAGUCCCUGGCUCCCCAGAGGAUUCCGAGGGCCCCCUGCUCAUCAGUCUGCCCAGCCCGUCUCAGGGAGGGAGCCAGCCUGGGCCCAGCCAGGGACUCAGCCUCAUGUCCAGUCAGGGCAGUGUGGAUUCGGACCACCUAGGUUAUGAUGGUGGCAGCAGCGGCUCAGACAGUGAGGGUCCCAGUGAGACCCUGGGGGAGAAGGCCCCCUUCACGCUGAGGACCCCCCCUGGGCUGGCGCCUCCACAGCCUUCGCUCACGGGCCUCCCUGGGCCCUGCCUGCCUGACUUCUGGCUCAUCGUCCGGGUGCUGCAGGACCGCGUGGAAGUGUAUGCGCACGCGCGGAGCCUGGUUCGGGAGGAUGGGGGGCCAGGCACCGAGUGUCGCCACCUGCAGCAGCUCCUGGUGCGGCGAGUCGGGGAGAUCUGCCGGGAGGUCAACCAGCGGCUGCUGCUCCAGGAUCUUCACGACAGUCACGUGUGUAACUCUCUGCUGGUGGCCGAGAGCGAGGAAGAUCUGUGGCGCAGCGAGACCCCCUACCACUCCCGCCAGCGGGCGCCGCCGCCCAGCGACGACUAUGCUGCGGAUGACAGCUGUGGACCGCGAGGCUAUCUGGCCGCCACCAUGCAGUUUGUCCCUGGCCAUUUCUCCUGUGACGUGGUGUGGGGAACCGUGAUCCGGGUCCAUUCCCGCCUCAAAAUGGGGCCCAGCAUGGGGGUCUCUCGGGCCAUCCAAGCCCUGCGCUCCGUGCUCAACGCCUUCUCUGUGGUGAACCGGAAGAACAUGUUUGUGUAUCAGGAGCGAGCAACAAAGGCUGUGUACUACCUGCGGCUCCUGGAGACGUCCUGCACUGAACGCUCGUGGGACAGUGACACCCUGCCCCCGUCUCUAGCUCUGUCCCGAAGCCAGGAGCCCAUCUACUCGGAGGACACCUCGGGCCCUCGUUCUCCCCUGGACGUGGCUUCCAGCCGCGGUUCAGACGCCGCUCGUCCUGUGGGCCAAGUGGACAGACACAUCCAGCUGCUGGUGCACGGCGUAGGGCAGGCAGGUCCCGAGAUCACGGACGAGCUGGUGCGGGUUCUGCGUCGGCGCCUGGACGAGGCCACGCUGGACGUGAUCACAGUCAUGCUUGUCCGGAACUGCAAGCUGACCCCAGCCGAUGUGGAGUUCAUCCAGCCCCCCGGAAGUCUCCCCUCAGAGGUGCUGCACCUGGCGCUGCCCGCCUCCUGCAGGCCCUGGCUCCCUGCGCUGGCCUGGUACCUGCGGCAGAACCUGCUCGUCUUCCUGCACUCCCCCAAGUACACGGACAGCAACAGCCGCAACCACUUCCAGCACCCACUCCCACCCCAGGGCGGCCUUCCUGACUGGGACAUCUACCUGUACAACAAGCCUGGAGGACAGGGCACUGGGGGCAAAGGGGUCGCCUGCAUCACUGUAGCUUUGGUGGAUGAGGGAGGAGCCCCCAUCUCACUGGCAUCGUGGCCCCCCUCUUCUCCGGGACCCCCAGACUCACUGCAGGAGGAGGAAUUUGAGCAGCUGACUCAAGUCACGCGCUGCUCGGUUGUGCCAGACAAUUCUUCAGCUCCGGACGGGGCCCCGCGGCUGCGACUGGAUGUGUGGGGCAAGGGGAACAUCAGCAUCGUGCAGCUGGAGGAGAAGCUCCGCGCAGCCGCCCGCCAGGCCCUGGCCGACGCCGUCAUGGAGUUCCGGCUGCUGCCAGCCUCGCUCUGUUCCGAGGACGCAGCCUCAGGAGGUCUCAAGAGCGGGCCGUUGGAGACCAAGAGCCCUGCAGGCCGCGCUGGCACCUUUCCCCCUGGCCCUGGCCCUGGCCCUGGCGAGCCUGUGACUCCCCCCAGCAAAGCCGGCCGCCGUAGCUUCUGGGACAUGCUGAGUAAAACAGAAUGUGGGGACUUGGGUUCCCCCAAAACUACGGAUGACAUCGUCCUGGAUCGGCCAGAAGACACUCGGGGCCGGAGGCGCCAUAAAACAGAAAGUGUCCGGACUCCCGGUGGGACUGAGCGGACAGUGGGCCCGGAGUCCGGAGCCCAGAGACAAAGACGCAGGACCACGCAGCUGGAGGAGGGCGAAGUGGGGGCCCUGCAGCCUGUGUUUGCUUGGGUCGCUCAGCGCUGGAUGGAGUUCAUGGUUCAGAUUGGAUGCGCCUCGGUGUCCAAGAGCUCCACCCACAUGGUGUCACGGUUCCUCCUGCCAUCGGUCCUGUCGGAGUUCGCCGCCCUGGUCACCUCGAUGGCUGGAGACACCAGGGUCCGCAUCUUUGAGCAGCAGUUGGCUUCUGAGCCAGAGACCUUCAUUCCUUGUUCCCUUGGACAGCUGGGCCCAGCGCCCCGCCCAGCAGCCAAGCGGCAUCUGCUGCUUCUGGGAAGGAACUUCUUGCAGUGGAGGAGACCCACCCAGCAGGCUGCCAAAGCCGUGCAGCGCUUCGAGCCGGGAGGCGAUGGGAGCUCGGGGCGGAGUGCUCCCCGGCAGAGGUUCUUGCUGCUGGAGGUCACGGACAAGAAGCUCCAGCUGCUGACCUACAACUGGGCUCCAGACCUGGGGGCGGCACUGGGCCGAGCACUGGUCCGCCUGGUGCAGUGGCAGAACGCCCGGGCCCACCUCAUCUUCUGCCUCCUCAGCCAGAAGCUUGGGCUCUUCCACCACUACGGCCAGCUGGACUUCCCGGUGCGGGACGAAAAGGAGCCCAACCCAUUCCUGCUGCCGACCGUGGAAGCGGAGACCCUCAUCCGGUGCGCAAGCCCCCCGCUGAGCCGCGAGCAGGGCCGGCUGAGCGGGUCCUCUCGGGGCGGGGGCCCCCUUCCGCUGGACACGUUCCCCUUCGACGAGGCCCUGAGGGACAUCGCGGCCGCCCGCCCCAGCUCCUCCCUGGGCCCUGCGCCCAGACCGCCCGACCCCGUCGCCUUCCACGGACAGCAGUUCCUGGAGAUCAAGAUGGCAGAGCGCCGAGAGCUGGAGCGCCAGAUGAAGAUGGAGAACCUGUUUGUAACGUGGCAGCAGCGCUCCGCCCCAGCCAGCAUGCCCAUCAGUGCCGGGGAGCUGGAGACCCUGAAGCAGUCGUCCCGCCUGGUGCAUUACUGUGCGACGGCCCUGCUCUUCGACCCAGCGGCCUGGCUGCACGGGCCCCCGGAGACCUCUGGGCCCCCCGAGGGGCAGCGGCGCCAUCGCCCUGAGUCAGGGUCUGGGAGCCGAGAGGGCCCCGCAAGCUGCGACUCCUCGGACGGGCCUCCGCCAGGCGCCCGGGAGGAGCCUUGGCUGAAGGAGCUGAGCUUGGCUUUCCUGCAGCAGUACGUGCAGUACCUGCAGAGCAUGGGCUUUGUGCUGGUGCCGCUGCGGCCCCCCUCACCCGCCCGCAGAGCUGAUGCCCGCGUGCGGCUUCUGUGCUUCCACGCUGACGUCCAUCCGACACAGCAGUCCUGGGCCUGGCCCUUCGUAGCUGCUGUCCCGAUGGCUCCCUGACCUCUCCUGAGCCCCGUGUGGCGCCUGGCCUGGGAAGAGUCCUUUUCGCACCGUGCUUGGUUUUUCUCCUCCCCAAGGACCCUGCCCUGGGCCCCCUCCCAUCCCUGUCUUCUGGCCUGUUCUCGGUCAUGUUCACUCACUGGCCUGAGUCCUGGGCGCUAGGAGACGCUCCCCUGGCCCACCUUCCGGCUCCCCGGCACACAGUGACGCCUCGGCACCCACCCUUCCCAUCCUGCGCCAGGUCUCAAGUUCCCAUUUCUGUGGCCCAUGCUCUCUGCCCCUCUCAGCAUCUGAGUCUGCAGGUUCUGGGUUUCUAGCCGCUUCCCCGUGGCUGCCUGGGAGAAAGUCCACUCAGCUUAUGCAUUGACGUUCAUGUAUCCCGAUGCGUGAGUCUGUUUUCUCCCUCCUCUCUGUUCUCAGUUUGAUGCCUUUUCAGGCUGGCAAACGUAAGCUGUGCCUCCUUACUCAGGACCCCCUUUGGUGCAGAAAGCCAGUUCCGACUACUUGGUGUUUUGUAACCAGCUCGCCACCUCCCAGGCCUCCCACCCUUGGCCAGGCCUUCAGAAGAACGGACUGGCUUGAGCCUCUGGGACAUUUCUGUGGGUGCCCCUCUCUCUUCUUAGUGACAGAGCCCAGGAGCCCUGCACUGCCCUCCACAGCCAGGUCUUAGCUGUCGGGGUUUUUCUGGAGUUUGCAUUUUCCCAUUCAGUUAUGUUCUUCCCAGAAAUCAGAAUUCCCUUUUAAGACCAUAGACACUAGAUUUAAACCUACAUUUACAGAGAAGGAUUUGAAGUCAGGCCUCCGUUCCUCACCAAUCACUCUUUGGGUCUAGUCCCUAUUUCCCUGAGGAUUCAGUGGGACACUGGCCCCCUGGCAGAAGUUUGGCAGUUUAUAGCUCCCGAUACAAUGAGUGGGUCCCACUGGCCCUUUCUGUUUUGUCUGUGUUUGCAAUAUUUUUUUCCCUUUAGUUCCUGGUUGAGAAGUAAAGAACAGUAGGCCCAUGGAACGCUGCAACUACUCUUCCCAGAGCAAAACAGGACCCCUUUUCCCUCUCAGAGGAACACCCCUAACCAGGGCAGAAGCAGCUCCUUGAAUCUGCCCCAGGAAGUCUCAGGCAUACGUCCCCCUCUCCCCUCCUGCCCUCCUCUGCUGCCCCCAGUAGGCAGAUGCCUCCAGCCCCUCACAGGGGUCUCGCCUUAGUCCUGGCAGCCUCGCCAGCCCUACCCUCGUCCUCCCGCUGGAAGAGGGGCCUGGCCUCCCCCUCCCCCCAAAGCAGCAGCUGCUGUGGAGAGAGCCCUGCCCUGCAGUCCAGCCCUGGGCCCCACUCACCCUGAGCAGGUCCUUCCAUCUCGGGGCCUGUCCUCUCUCCUGCAAAACUAUCCCACAUGAACUGCACUCGCGAUCUGACAGCCGCAACCCUUCACCCACCGGCCUGCCUCACCCCCUGUUCUGCAGCACCAGCCGGCUGCGGGCCAUGGCCAUCCUUGGAACAGAGGGUCGGGGCUCCUUCUCCUGCCCGAAAGCCAAGGCCGACGGGAGCCCCAAGAGCUCUGGCUCUCCAGUCACCACAUACCACCUGCAGCGGGCACUGCCCGGGGGCAUCAUCCUCAUGGAGCUGGCUUUCCAGGGCUGUUACUUCUGUGUCAAACAGUUUGCUCUGGAAUGUUCCCGAAUCCCCAUGGGGCAAGCUGUCAACUCGCAGCUGUCCAUGCUGUUCACAGAGGAGUGCGACAAGGUGCGGGACCUGAUGCACGUGCACUCGUUCAGCUACGACUUCCACCUGCGCCUCGUGCACCAGCACGUGCUGGGCGCCCACCUGGUGCUGCGGCACGGCUACCACCUCACCACCUUCCUGCGGCACUUCCUGGCCCACCACCCUGACGGGCCCCACUUUGGCCGCAAUCACAUUUACCAAGGGACCCUGGAGCUCCCCACGCCACUCAUUGCCGCCCACCAGCUGUACAACUACGUGGCCGACCACGCCAGCUCCUACCACAUGAAGCCGCUGCGGAUGGCCCGGCCUGGGGGGCCCGAGCAUAACGAGUACGCCCUGGUGUCAGCGUGGCACAGCUCCGGCUCCUACCUGGACGCGGAGGGACGUCGCCACCAGGACGACUUCGACGUGUCUCUGCUUGUCUGCCACUGGGCUGCACCCUUCGAGGAACAAGGGGAAGCCGAGAGGCACGUUCUGCGGCUGCAGUUCUUCGUGGUGCUCACCAGCCAACGAGAGCUCUUCCCCAGACUCACCGCUGACCUGCGCCGGUUCCGGAAGCCGCCCAGGCUGCCCCCUGAGCCAGAGGCUCCCGGGAGCUCAGCUGGUGGCCCUGGGGAGGUCUCCGGGGUUGGUCUGGCCCCUGGACCAGCCCCCCUCUUCCCUCCACUGGCUGCAGAGGUGGGCGUGGCACGGGCACGGCUGGCUCAGCUGGUACGGCUGGCUGGAGGGCACUGUCGCCGGGACACCCUUUGGAAGCGCCUCUUCUUGCUGGAACCAGCAGGACCUGAUCGGCUGCGGCUAGGGGGGCGCCUGGCCCUGGCCGAGCUGGAGGAGCUCCUAGAAGCAGUCCAUGCCAAAUCCAUUGGGGACAUCGACCCCCAGCUGGACUGCUUCCUGUCCAUGACGGUCUCCUGGUACCAGAGCCUGAUCAAGGUUCUCCUAAGCCGCUUUCCCCAGAGCUGUCGCCACUUCCAGAGCCCAGACUUGGGAACCCAGUACCUGGUUGUGCUCAAUCAGAAGUUCACAGACUGUUUCGUGUUAGUGUUUCUGGAUUCCCACUUGGGAAAGACGUCUCUGACGGUAGUUUUCCGAGAGCCCUUCCCAGUACAGCCGCAGGACAGCGAGAGCCCCCCCGCCCAGCUGGUCUCCACCUACCACCACCUGGAGUCGGUCAUCAACACAGCCUGCUUCACCCUCUGGACCCGCCUCCUCUGAGGGAUGGAUCACCGAGCGUCCUCUGUAAUUGCCCACCUGAAGCAGGACUGACCCGCCCUUCUGGGCACCAGGGCAAGAGCAGACCCUGAGGAACGCCCAAGGUUUUAUGACUCUGACUUGGGAGGCUGGUAGCAAGAGCCACCCUGCCUAAACACGUGCAGCCACUGACCAGCCAGGGCGCCAAAGGGUCCAGUGCUCUGCCUGAGGUGCCCGUGUCUCUUCCGGCUCUGGGCCCUUCCAGGAGCCGCCUCCUUCCUGCUCUCCUGGGGGAGUCUGGGAAUUCUUCGCAUCAGGUGGCACGUAGGCCCUUUAGAGCUCCUCUUCCAUGGAUCCUGCCUCCAAGUCUUGGAUGGCUGUCAGCCACCCCCAUAGUGAGUCCGCUGGUCUUCACUUCCCACUGGGACUUCACUGCCGGACGUGGCCAUUGAGCUAAGACACCCUGGUUCCAAUCCCAGCUCUGCCAUCGAAGCACCUGUGGCCCUUUGCUCUCGACCCUUGGUUUGUCAUCCAUACAUGAGGAGGCGGACUCAGAAGCUCGCCCAUCUCCAGAGCAACCCUGGCGCAGAUGGGAGGACUUGAAUCUGAGCUGCACGUCCCUUCUUUGCAGGAGGGAAGCGACCCCAAGAAACUGCAAAGUGAGACACUGUG